RNAcentral lists this unclassified non-coding RNA (279 nucleotides) under plant metagenome. RNAcentral describes it as "partial contains small subunit ribosomal RNA, internal transcribed spacer 1, and 5.8S ribosomal RNA". The record is from RNAcentral.
UUUCCGUAGGUGAACCUGCGGAAGGAUCAUUAACGAGUUAAAGUCUUCUAGGCCCGACCUCCCAACCCUUUGUUUACUGAACCAUUGUUGCCUCGGGUGGUCCGUCUUACGACCGCCGGGGGGUCGCCGCUAAGCGCCCCCUGGCCAUCUCCCACAGAUACCCCAACCCUUACAAACCUUUGUUAAACGUUUCUAAUAUCUAAAUUUAUGAAUAAACAAUCAAAACAAAACUUUCAACAACGAGUCGAUUGGUUCUGGCAUCGAUGAAAAACGCAUCAC